GCCCUUAUAGCGCAGUGGUAGCGCGUGUCACUCGUAAUGACAAGGUCCUCGGUUCGACUCCGAGUGGGGGCA
Molecule: transfer RNA, 72 nt
Organism: Thielaviopsis punctulata
Lineage: Eukaryota; Fungi; Ascomycota; Sordariomycetes; Microascales; Ceratocystidaceae
Rfam family: tRNA
About the family: Transfer RNA (tRNA) molecules are approximately 80 nucleotides in length. Their secondary structure includes four short double-helical elements and three loops (D, anti-codon, and T loops). Further hydrogen bonds mediate the characteristic L-shaped molecular structure. tRNAs have two regions of fundamental functional importance: the anti-codon, which is responsible for specific mRNA codon recognition, and the 3' end, to which the tRNAs corresponding amino acid is attached (by aminoacyl-tRNA synthetases). tRNAs cope with the degeneracy of the genetic code in two manners: having more than one tRNA (with a specific anti-codon) for a particular amino acid; and 'wobble' base-pairing, i.e. permitting non-standard base-pairing at the 3rd anti-codon position.
Source: Rfam